CUCCCUGCCCAGCGCCUUGGCCUGGGCUACCAGCUCCUUGUCGGUGGGCGAGCGGUCAAAGGCGUCCAUGAUCUCUGCAGCAAGGACCGAGGAGCGGCGCAGGACCUCCAUGGCGAGCUCGCGGGCGGGGGGCGUCACACCUGCGAGGACAGCGCUCUGGGGACCGGGCUCAGGACAGAUUUGUACAGAUUGUUCAUAGUUCCUGGAUUAGAGCGUUCUAGUCUGGCACGAGUGUGAGUUCUAGAUGGAUACUUGUAUUUGUACUGGAGAUUUUGCAGAUAACUUCUCCCGUGCCGUGAUUCGCUUUUGCUUUUAAGGAACAAGAAGAUGCCAAGGAAGGGAAUACCUGGUCAAAUGGAACCUCUGGUUUUAGUUUUUUGAAGAAUCUCCACAUGGAUUUCCACAGUGGUUACCCCAGUCUACACUCCCACCAACCAUGGAGAAGAGUUCUUUAUUUUCCCACAGCCCCCUAGCAUUUGUUAUUGGUUGAUUUCUUUUUUUCUUUUUCUUUUUCUUUUUUUUUUUUUUUUUUGUCUUUUUCAUUUUUAUCAGUACCGGGGAUCGAACUCACGACCGCAUGCUUGCAAGGCAGGUGCUUAUGCCGCUGAGCUAAACCCCCAGCCCCCUUGGUUGAUUUCUUGAUCAUAUCCUUUCUCGAGUGAAAUGGACUCUCAGUGUUGUUUUAAUUUGCAUCUCUUCAACGACAAAUGAUGGUGAACAUUUUUUAGUAUAUUUAUUUUCUGCUUCUAUGUCUUUAUCUAAAAAAGACAUAUGCCCAUUUUUGUUUUUGAGACAGGGUGUCACUAUGUAUUGCAGGCUGGCCUUGAACUCGAUUAUGUAGCCCAGGCUGGCCUUGAAUUUAUGGUGAUCCUCCUACCUCGGUCCCUGAGUGCUAGAAUUACAAGUGUCAUGCCUGGCUUGAUGCCCUUUUUUGGAUCGAGUCUUUACCAAGCAGGUACUUACACCACUGAGAUAAACCUCAGGCCUGUGGACCGAGUCUUUAAAUUUGGGUCCUCUUUCUUUCUUUCUUUCUUUCUUUCUCUCUUUCUCUCUUUCUCUCUCUCACUCUCUCUCUUUCUUUCUUCUUUCUUUGUUUUUAAUCAGUACCGGGGAUCGCACUCACGAUGGCCUGCUUGCAAAGCAGGUGCUUAUGCCACUGAGCUAAAUCCCCAGCAAGUCUUUAAAUUUGGGAAGGAGGGUCUGAUUUUUUCGCGUUCUUUGUAUAUUCUAGAUAUUAGUCUUUUUUUUUUUACUCGGUACCAGGGAUCAAACUCACAACCGCCUGCUUGCAAGGCAGGUGCUUAUGCCACUGAGAUAAAUCCCCAGCCCCGAUAUUAGUCUUUUGUAUGACAGUCUUAUUUUUUUUUAUUUUAUUUAAGGAGAAAAAAAAAACAGAAAAAGGGUACAAGUUAUACAGAAUUUCAGAAAAAAUAAACAGUAGAAAAUCACUAGUUAAUUACAUAUUGUCAUCUUAGAAAUAGUUGUUCAAGUUACAAAAUUAAAGCAUAUAGAGGGGACUUUCAAACAGUGAGGACAGUCUAUUUUAAAUACUAGAUGAAAAACACUUCACCAAAACUGACACUAGAAAACAGAGAAGAUCUGGAUAGUUCUGUACCAAUUCAAUAAACUUAGCUCAUAAUGUAAGAUCAUCCCACAAUGAAGAUGGUUGCAGGUGGUUUCAUUGAGAAAGUCUUCUCAAUAGCUGAAGAACUGUCAUCAGUCUUAUAGAAAGUUGUAUGGGCUAGGGAUUUAGCUCAAAGGCUUAAGCGCCUGCCUGGCAAGCGUGAGGUUGUGAGUUCAAUCCGCGGUACCAAAAAACAAAAUAAAAUAAAAUAAAAUAAAAUAAAAUAAAAUAAA
This is a long non-coding RNA of Cavia porcellus (domestic guinea pig), 1857 nucleotides long. RefSeq lists it as uncharacterized. The transcript has 3 exons. The record is from RefSeq and is a predicted model, not a curated record. Lineage: Eukaryota; Metazoa; Chordata; Mammalia; Rodentia; Caviidae.